GACGAACGCUGGCGGCACGCUUAACACAUGCAAGUCGAACGAGAGAAGAGAAGCUUGCUUUUCUGAUCUAGUGGCGGACGGGUGAGUAACACGUGAGCAAUCUGCCUUUCAGAGGGGGAUACCGAUUGGAAACGAUCGUUAAUACCGCAUAACAUAAUUGAACCGCAUGAUUUGAUUAUCAAAGAUUUAUCGCUGAAAGAUGAGCUCGCGUCUGAUUAGCUAGUUGGUAAGGUAACGGCUUACCAAGGCGACGAUCAGUAGCCGGACUGAGAGGUUGAUCGGCCACAUUGGGACUGAGACACGGCCCAGACUCCUACGGGAGGCAGCAGUGGGGAAUAUUGCACAAUGGAGGAAACUCUGAUGCAGCGAUGCCGCGUGAGGGAAGAAGGUUUUAGGAUUGUAAACCUCUGUUUUCAGGGACGAAAAAAGACGGUACCUGAGGAGGAAGCUCCGGCUAACUACGUGCCAGCAGCCGCGGUAAUACGUAGGGAGCGAGCGUUGUCCGGAAUUACUGGGUGUAAAGGGAGCGUAGGCGGGAUCGCAAGUCAGAUGUGAAAACUAUGGGCUUAACCCAUAAACUGCAUUUGAAACUGUGGUUCUUGAGUGAAGUAGAGGUAAGCGGAAUUCCUAGUGUAGCGGUGAAAUGCGUAGAUAUUAGGAGGAACAUCAGUGGCGAAGGCGGCUUACUGGGCUUUAACUGACGCUGAGGCUCGAAAGCGUGGGGAGCAAACAGGAUUAGAUACCCUGGUAGUCCACGCCGUAAACGAUGAUUACUAGGUGUGGGGGGACUGACUCCUUCCGUGCCGCAGCAAACGCAAUAAGUAAUCCACCUGGGGAGUACGACCGCAAGGUUGAAACUCAAAGGAAUUGACGGGGGCCCGCACAAGCAGUGGAGUAUGUGGAUUAAUUCGAAGCAACGCGAAGAACCUUACCAGGUCUUGACAUCGUAUGCAUAGCUCAGAGAUGAGUGAAAUCUCUUCGGAGACAUAUAGACAGGUGGUGCAUGGUUGUCGUCAGCUCGUGUCGUGAGAUGUUGGGUUAAGUCCCGCAACGAGCGCAACCCUUACUGUUAGUUGCUACGCAAGAGCACUCUAGCAGGACUGCCGUUGACAAAACGGAGGAAGGUGGGGAUGACGUCAAAUCAUCAUGCCCCUUAUGACCUGGGCCUCACACGUACUACAAUGGCUGUCAACAGAGGGAUGCAAAGUCGCGAGGUGGAGCGAACCCCUAAAAGCAGUCUUAGUUCGGAUUGUAGGCUGCAACCCGCCUACAUGAAGUCGGAAUUGCUAGUAAUCGCAGAUCAGCAUGCUGCGGUGAAUAAAAUCCCGGGCCUUGCACA
Molecule: ribosomal RNA, 1339 nt
Filed under: uncultured bacterium
Lineage: Bacteria
Description: bacterial SSU rRNA
Rfam family: Bacterial small subunit ribosomal RNA
Source: RNAcentral